This 185-nucleotide ribosomal RNA is filed under the name uncultured bacterium. RNAcentral's name for it is "partial 16S ribosomal RNA". It matches the Rfam family "Bacterial small subunit ribosomal RNA", at positions 1316 to 1500 of the family's 1533-position model. The record is from RNAcentral.
CUACAUGAAGCCGGAAUCGCUAGUAAUCGCGGAUCAGAAUGCCGCGGUGAAUACGUUCCCGGGUCUUGUACACACCGCCCGUCACACCAUGGGAGUCGGAAAUGCCCGAAGUCUGUGACCCAACCGUAAGGAGGGAGCAGCCGAAGGCAGGUCGGAUGACUGGGGUGAAGUCGUAACAAGGUAUC